GAAUAUGAAGCAACUUGCAAUUAGUUUCGACCUAAUCAUAUGGUAUUAAAUUACCCUUAUUCU
RNAcentral lists this transfer RNA (63 nucleotides) under Rhyparobia maderae (Madeira cockroach). RNAcentral describes it as "tRNA-Arg". Lineage: Eukaryota; Metazoa; Arthropoda; Insecta; Blattodea; Blaberidae. The record is from RNAcentral.